This 2041-nucleotide long non-coding RNA is filed under the name Salmo salar (Atlantic salmon). RNAcentral describes it as "lncRNA (ENSSSAG00000105365.1)". The record is from RNAcentral. Lineage: Eukaryota; Metazoa; Chordata; Actinopteri; Salmoniformes; Salmonidae.
CUGAACGUCACAUGCUAAUGUAAAAAGCUGUUUUUUGAUAUAAAUAUGAACUUGAUUGAACAAAACAUGCAUGUAUUGUAUAACAUAAUGUCCUAGGUGUGUCAUCUGAUGAAGAUCAUCAAAGGUUAGUGCUGCAUUUAGCUGUCUUCUGGGUUUUUGUGACAUUAUAUGCUAGCUUGAAAAAUGGGUGUCUGAUUAUUUCUGGCUUGGUACUCUGCUGACAUAAUCUAAUGUUUUGCUUUCGCUGUAAAGCCUUUUUGAAAUCGGACAGUGUGGUUAGAUAAAGGAGAGUCUUGUCUUUAAAAUGCUAUGAAAUAGUCAUAUGUUUGAAAAAUUGAAGUUUUUGUAUUUUUGAGGAAUUUGUAAUUCGCGCCACGCCUAUCAUUGGAUAUUGGAGCAGGUGUUCCGCUAGCGGAACGUCUAGAUGUAAGAGGUUAAGACCCCACUCAACACGCUGCGCCUUGGUCUACUCCUUCAGACAGCCGUUACAGAACCACCCACCACAAGAAGACCAAGCAGCGUGGUAUGGAGGAACAGAGGGUUAUGGACUCCUGGACUUGGGAGAUAAUCCUGGAUGGGGCAGGACCCUGGACAACGCCUGGGGAGUACCGGCCGUCCGCAGUGGGAGAUCGAGGCAGCUAAAGUGGAACGCCGAUACUGGGAGAAACAGGCAAAUCAACAAGGCAGGCACGAGAGGCAGCCCAAAUGUUUUUUUUUGGGGGGGGGGUGCACAGGCAAUAGACCUGAGCCAACUCCCCGUGCUUACCAUGGGGAGCGGUUGACGUGGGGAGCACCGUGCUAUGCGGAAGUGCGCACGGUCUCGCCCAUCCGCAUGCCCAGUCCGGUGCGGUCGAUACCAGCCCCCCGCAAGUGCUGUGCUAGAGUGGGCAUCCAGCCAGGGAGAAGUGCGCCGGCGCAGCACAUCUGGCCACCUGUGCGUCUCCUAGGUCCAGCCUACCCUGCGCCUGCUCUACGCACGGCAGCCCUCAAUCUCCAGCACAGCCCAGUUUGCCCUGAGCCAGGGCUUCACCCGUGCCGGGUUACAGUGACAACUCAGCCAGGAUGGGUUGUGCAGGCCGUGCGCUCCAGACCUCCAGUGCGUCUCCAGGACCCGGUCUAUCCGGUGCCUGCUCCCAGAGCCAGGCCUCCUGCAUGUCUCCCCAGCCUGGUGAGUCCUGUGCCUGCACCCAGAGCCAGGCCUCCUGCAAGUCUCCCCAGCCUGGUGAAUCCUGUGCCUGCUCCCGGAGCCAGGCCUCCUGCAUGUCUCCCCAGUCUGGUGAGUCCUGUGCCUGAGUUGCCCGCCAGUCCGGAGCUGCCAGAGUUGCCCGCCAGUCCGGAGCUGCCAGAGUCGCCCGCCUGUCCGGAGCUGCCAGAGUCGCCCGCCUGUCCGGAGCUGCCAGAGUCGCCCGCCUGUCCGGAGCUGCCAGAGUCGCCCGCCUGUCCGGAGCUGCCAGAGUCGCCCGCCUGUCCGGAGCCGACAGCGAGGGUCCCCACUCCAGAGGCGCCACCAAAGUGGGGUGAGCCAGUGGUGGAGCGGGGUUUGUGUCCCCCCUCCUGAGCCACCUCCGUAGGGGGGAGGAUUGGGAAGGGGGGGGGUGUUGCACAAGAACCGUCGUUGACUGUGGCCAGCCUCCCUUCCCUCCCUUUAGGUCUGGAGUUGUUUUUGUGUUUUUUUUUUGUUUGAGGUGCAUUUCGGUGUCUGCACCUUUGGGGGGGUACUGUCACGUCCUGACCAGUAAGGGGUCAGUUUGUUAUUAUAGUUUGGUCAGGGCGUGGCAGGGGGUGUAUGUUUUGUGGUUUUUGGGUUGAUCUAUGUUAUUCUAUUUCCAUGUUUAAAUAUCUAGUUUUUCUGUUUCUAUGUUGGAAUUGUUUGGGGUUGGUCUCUAAUUGAAUCAGCUGAAUCUCAUUGCCUCUGAUUAGAGACCAUAUUUAUGUAGGGGUUUUCUCAUUGUGUUUUGUGGGGGGUUAUUUUAUGUUUAGUUCAUGUUAACCUGACAGAACUGCUGGCUGUCGUUUUCUUGUUUUGUUUAUAGUGUGUCAG